This is a long non-coding RNA of Ictalurus punctatus (channel catfish), 280 nucleotides long. RefSeq lists it as uncharacterized. NCBI's taxonomy places the organism in Eukaryota, Metazoa, Chordata, Actinopteri, Siluriformes, Ictaluridae. The record is from RefSeq and is a predicted model, not a curated record. The transcript is spliced from 3 exons.
UUCGAGCUGCAAAAGGAGAAAAUUUGGGAAGGCUAGAUGACGCGCAAUCCGUCUAAGUCGCCCUGUAACACGUGAUCGAAAGUAGAUAUUGUCAUAUAUCAAUUUGGAGCACUUGGAUGCGUAGGAGUGGUUCACUUAGGAACGUCGGAGAGCCUGUAUGCUAAGUAGCAAUGGGUUUAGGAUUUAAUGAGAACCUGUAACUGGCUGUGAGACUGAACAAAAACUACGGAUAACAUUAUUAAUAAAAGCUGGCGAUGGCAAAAAACAUACUUAAACUGAA